Molecule: ribosomal RNA, 1040 nt
Filed under: Montagnula thailandica
Lineage: Eukaryota; Fungi; Ascomycota; Dothideomycetes; Pleosporales; Didymosphaeriaceae
Description: SSU rRNA
Rfam family: Eukaryotic small subunit ribosomal RNA
Source: RNAcentral
UAGUAUAGCAUUAUACCGUGAAACUGCGAAUGGCUCAUUAAAUCAGUUAUCGUUUAUUUGAUAGUACCUUACUACUUGGAUAACCGUGGUAAUUCUAGAGCUAAUACAUGCUAAAAACCCCAACUUCGGGAGGGGUGUAUUUAUUAGAUAAAAAACCAAUGCCCUUCGGGGCUCCUUGGUGAUUCAUGAUAACUUCUCAGAUCGCAUAGCCUUGAGCUGGCGACGGUUCAUUCAAAUUUCUGCCCUAUCAACUUUCGAUGGUAAGGUAGUGGCUUACCAUGGUUGCAACGGGUAACGGGGAAUUAGGGUUCGAUUCCGGAGAGGGAGCCUGAGAAACGGCUACCACAUCCAAGGAAGGCAGCAGGCGCGCAAAUUACCCAAUUCCGAUACGGAGAGGUAGUGACAAUAAAUACUGAUACAGGGCUCUUUUGGGUCUUGUAAUUGGAAUGAGUACAAUUUAAACCUCUUAACGAGGAACAAUUGGAGGGCAAGUCUGGUGCCAGCAGCCGCGGUAAUUCCAGCUCCAAUAGCGUAUAUUAAAGUUGUUGCAGUUAAAAAGCUCGUAGUUGAACCUUUGGCCUGGCUGGCAGGUCCGCCUCACCGCGUGCACUUGUCCGGCCGGGCCUUUUCUUCUGGAGAACCGCAUGCCCUUCACUGGGUGUGUUGGGGACCAGGACUUUUACUUUGAAAAAAUUAGAGUGUUCAAAGCAGGCCUUUGCUCGAAUACGUUAGCAUGGAAUAAUAGAAUAGGACGUGCGGUCCUAUUUUGUUGGUUUCUAGGACCGCCGUAAUGAUUAAUAGGGACAGUUGGGGGCAUCAGUAUUCAAUUGUCAGAGGUGAAAUUCUUGGAUUUAUUGAAGACUAACUACUGCGAAAGCAUUUGCCAAAGAUGUUUUCAUUAAUCAGUGAACGAAAGUUAGGGGAUCGAAGACGAUCAGAUACCGUCGUAGUCUUAACCAUAAACUAUGCCGACUAGGGAUCGGGCGGUGUUUCUAAUGUGACCCGCUCGGCACCUUACGAGAAAUCAAAGUGUUUGGGUC